GGGGACUCGGUAGCGCGGGCCGUCCUGCUGGGGAUACUUUGGUCCCCGUGCACCUCGACUGUACGGCGCGCGGCCCACACGUCGCGGCGUUGUUAAGCCCUUAAGGUGAUAGGGUUCGAGAGACUGAGAGGCAAAAGGGAGGCGACCCCAGGUGGCCGACUGGGAAAACCGUGAUUCUAACUCCACCCCUGCCGCCAUCAAAGCGAUUGAUUGCGCGAGGUGAACCCCGAAAGCCUGUGUUGUCGAGUUCGUGGUAGAGAGGGCUUUGGACGCGAUUGAGCCCUGUGCUGAGCAGAGACGGGGCGAGGUCAGUGACUCAGCUUGGUCCCACUGGGAAUGGCAGCCCCGUCUAUGAAAGAAAGGCAGGCUUGCUGGGGAGCCCGAGAUGAGUACUGGAAGUGUUUAGAUGAGAGCACGGACGAUGCUUCUCAGUGCAAGAAGUUAAGAAGCUCCUUUGAAUCGAGUUGCCCCCAACAAUGGAUAAAAUAUUUUGAUAAAAGAAGAGACUACUUAAAAUUCAAAGAAAAAUUUGAAGCAGGACAAUUCCAGCCUUCAAAAACAACCACAAAUUCCUAGAUUGUACCUGAACUUUUCACAAAACUUGACUGCACAUACAAAGCUCUGUUAACCUUAAGGACAAUAGUAAUUACCAGUACUAUUUGAAUUAAGGUAAAUGUCAAUACUUGUUCUCUAUAAAGGACUCUUAAUAACUAAAGUGAUCAAAUAACAGGAUUCAUUCAGACUAUGAGUAAUCGAAAUAAAUGGUGUAAAAUAUA
This is a long non-coding RNA of Echinops telfairi (small Madagascar hedgehog), 776 nucleotides long. RefSeq lists it as uncharacterized. The transcript is spliced from 3 exons. The record is from RefSeq and is a predicted model, not a curated record. Lineage: Eukaryota; Metazoa; Chordata; Mammalia; Afrosoricida; Tenrecidae.